UUCAUUUUAAUGAUUUACUUUGUUCGGGUUAAAGAAUGUUUGUCAGAUGUUCGGACUCCUUGGUUUUUUUUUACUACGAUACAGAAUAAAAUACUAUGUCACAUGCCACUUAUUUUCUUGUCAUAUAAGACUUCAAAAACUUAUAAAAAGUCAUUAACCAAAAGGACAAGGUCCACUACGACCUCUUUUUGGCCCCAAAAUAUAGCAG
This 208-nucleotide long non-coding RNA is filed under the name Mytilus galloprovincialis (Mediterranean mussel). Lineage: Eukaryota; Metazoa; Mollusca; Bivalvia; Mytilida; Mytilidae. The record is from RNAcentral.